RNAcentral lists this ribosomal RNA (121 nucleotides) under uncultured Sulfurihydrogenibium sp. RNAcentral describes it as "partial 16S ribosomal RNA". It matches the Rfam family "Bacterial small subunit ribosomal RNA", at positions 334 to 458 of the family's 1533-position model. The record is from RNAcentral. Lineage: Bacteria; Pseudomonadati; Aquificota; Aquificia; Aquificales; Hydrogenothermaceae.
GUCUUUGGAGGCAGCAGUGGGGAAUAUUGGGCAAUGGCCGAAAGGCUGACCCAGCAACGCCGCGUGGUGGAUGAAGCCCUUCGGGGUGUAAACACCUUUUCUGGGGGAAGAUAAUGACGUA